AGUGAACGCUGGCGGUAGGCCUAACACAUGCAAGUCGAACGGCAGCACAGUAAGAGCUUGCUCUUACGGGUGGCGAGUGGCGGACGGGUGAGGAAUACAUCGGAAUCUACUUUUUCGUGGGGGAUAACGUAGGGAAACUUACGCUAAUACCGCAUACGACCUACGGGUGAAAGCAGGGGAUCUUCGGACCUUGCGCGAUUGAAUGAGCCGAUGUCGGAUUAGCUAGUUGGCGGGGUAAAGGCCCACCAAGGCGACGAUCCGUAGCUGGUCUGAGAGGAUGGAUAGCCCACCGGGGAGUGGAAACGGGGACCAGACCCCUGCGGGAGGGGACAGGGGGAAAUUUUGGACAGUGGGGGCAAGCUUUACCCACCCGUCCGGGGGGGGAGAAAGAGGCCUGGGGUUUUAAAGGCCUUUUUGUGGGAAAAAAAAAGCGGCAGUUUACUCCCCCGCUUUCCUGACGGUACCAAAAAAAUAAGGACCGGCUAACUUGGUG
Molecule: ribosomal RNA, 493 nt
Filed under: uncultured bacterium
Lineage: Bacteria
Description: partial 16S ribosomal RNA
Rfam family: Bacterial small subunit ribosomal RNA
Source: RNAcentral